UCUGGGCAUCAGAGCAAGACCCUGUCUCUAAAAAGAUAGCCCAAAUUUAUGUGCUGAUUUUCAUUCCUGCCCUUCCUGAUUUGGGGAGUGCUGCAUUCGGGCACCCUCGGAGCCGUUCGAAAUGUCAAGACGGUGGCUUCUGCCUCAGCCAGUUGGAAUCGGCCUGUGUCAAUUCUUCAGGGAGUACAUCUUUUAUCCACUCUGGAAAAUUCCAAAUAGUGCCCUAGCAUUGUCUCAUGUGAGUGAGGUUCUCUGAGAUCAUACAUCAAGGGGAAGUGUCUUAUUUAAGAUUAAAAACCGGAACUAAACUAAA
Molecule: long non-coding RNA, 313 nt
Filed under: Homo sapiens (human)
Lineage: Eukaryota; Metazoa; Chordata; Mammalia; Primates; Hominidae
Description: HSALNT0388955
Source: RNAcentral